AUUGAACGCUGGCGGCAAGCCUUACACAUGCAAGUCGAACGGCGGCACGGGUGCUUGCACCUGGUGGCGAGUGGCGAACGGGUGAAUAAUAUAUCGGAACGUACCUUAUUGUGGGGGAUAACGCAGCGAAAGCUGUGCUAAUACCGCAUAAUCCCUAAGGGGGAAAGCGGGGGACCGUAAGGCCUCGCGCAAUUGGAGCGGCCGAUACCUGAUUAGCUAGUUGGUGAGGUAAAGGCUCACCAAGGCAACGAUCAGUAGCUGGUCUGAGCGGAAGCUCACCCAACCUGGAACUUAGACACGGCCCAGACUCCUACGGGAGGCAGCAGUGGGGAAUUUUGGACAAUGGGGGCAACCCUGAUCCAGCAAUGCCGCGUGAGUGAAGAAGGCCUUCGGGUUGUAAAGCUCUUUUGUCAGGGAAGAAACAGCAGCUCUAACACAGUUUGCGAAUGACGGUACCUGAAGAAUAAGCACCGGCUAACUACGUGCCAGCCGCCGCCGUAA
This 501-nucleotide ribosomal RNA is filed under the name uncultured bacterium. Its description in RNAcentral is "partial 16S ribosomal RNA". It matches the Rfam family "Bacterial small subunit ribosomal RNA", at positions 30 to 523 of the family's 1533-position model. The record is from RNAcentral.